Fukomys damarensis (Damara mole-rat) is the source of this 187-nucleotide non-coding RNA. Lineage: Eukaryota; Metazoa; Chordata; Mammalia; Rodentia; Bathyergidae. The record is from Rfam.
AUCGCUUCUCAGCCUUUUGGCUAAGAUCAAGUGCAGUUUUCACCAGAACCAAUGGAGAAUUGUAUAUAUUACAGUUGAUUCUUAUAUAUUAAUCUAUAGUUUCAUAUUUGAGCAGCAUAUAUAGUUUCUGUUCAGAAAAAAUAAUGUUGAGAUAAAUCUACAAGAAGCCUCCCAGUGUUUAGCUUUU